This 625-nucleotide long non-coding RNA is filed under the name Brassica napus (rape). Its description in RNAcentral is "long non-coding RNA (BNAP_LNC026269)". Lineage: Eukaryota; Viridiplantae; Streptophyta; Magnoliopsida; Brassicales; Brassicaceae. The record is from RNAcentral.
AAUUCGCUAAUAUUGAACCUUUUCUAUCAUCUUUCUUUCCUCAAGCAUGAAACGGAGUUGAGCGGUAGGCAUUCCUUUCCAUUACAGUGGGAAAGUGGAUGCGAGUCGGCUUUCACCCUUCCAUUGCACUUUCAUGAGUCAACUUUUUUGUUUUAUUGCUCCCGCUUCCUCACAUCUGCGCUCGUCAAGCCAACUUUGCUUUUUUUGGGAGGCGUUAAAAAAUUCUUUCACCAAAGGUGUGAAUUGGGGAGGAUUGGUCGCCGAAAUAUUAACUGGAGACUGAAUCUUAAUAUACCUCAGAAGAACUACACUUGCUUCUGGAUAGAUGUGUGGGACAGAGGGCUCGUGGUACCUUCUGCCCACCCUUCCUCCUCUGCUUUGAGAACUGUGUGAACGGAGAGUGGGCAGAAGGGAAGGAGGUCUAGAUCGCUUGCUAUAAGUAAGGAAACUCCUGAGUACGGAAUUGAGACCGAAGAAAGGAGAUUCCACUCAGUUCAUAUCUUUAAGUUCGAUCAUUGACAAGGUUCAAAGAAAGGGUGGGCCGUCGGUUUGAAUCCAAUAUUAUGCAAUUUUUUUUUUCGAUUUAAGUUCUUUUCUUUCUAAGAGGUGGAAUAGAAUAACCCGG